UAUCUCUGUAGAGUCUGCAUAUCAAUAAGCGGAGGAAAAGAAACUAACAUAGGAUUCCCUUAGUAACGGCGAGUGAAGCGGGAAGAGCUCAAAUUUGAAAUCUUCAAGGUUUUACCUUGACGAAUUGUAGUUUAAAGAAGUGUUUUCUGUUGGAUGUUUUGGUAAAAGUUCUUUGGAAUAGGACAUCAUAGAGGGUGAGAAUCCCGUAUUUGACCAUUACUUUCCAGCUUUGUGAUACACUUUCAAAGAGUCGGAUUGUUUGGGAAUGCAGUCCAAAAUGGGUGGUAAAUUUCAUCUAAAGCUAAAUAUUGGCGAGAGACCGAUAGCGAACAAGUACCGUGAGGGAAAGAUGAAAAGAACUUUGAAAAGAGAGUUAAACAGUACGUGAAAUUGUCAAAAGGGAAGCGUUUGACACCAGUGUUGUUUUCUCGAAAAUCAAUUAAAAAAGGUUAGGAUUUUGUGUUGUAUUGACCUUAUCAGCUUUCUGCACUCUUUUCCUGCUUUUUUUAAUGCACUUUUCGUUUAACAAGUCAACAUCAGUUUCUUUUGUUGUAAAAGGGUCAUUGGAAGGUGGCUUUCUUUUCGGAGAAAGUGUUUAUAGCCUUUGGCCUCUGCAAUCGGAGAGAUUGAGGUCUGCAGCGUAGAUCCUUCGGGGUUAGAUACAUUUGUGCUAAGUUAUAGCCUUUCAUAGACAACUUGUUGACUAUGAUCAGUCAUGUAGCUUACUCGCUUAUGCUAUUUUACCUACGCUUAGGAUGUUGAUAGUCACAGCGUGUA
This 777-nucleotide ribosomal RNA is filed under the name uncultured Neocallimastigales. RNAcentral describes it as "partial large subunit ribosomal RNA". It matches the Rfam family "Eukaryotic large subunit ribosomal RNA", at positions 24 to 642 of the family's 3401-position model. Lineage: Eukaryota; Fungi; Neocallimastigomycota; Neocallimastigomycetes; Neocallimastigales. The record is from RNAcentral.